Non-coding RNA from Podarcis lilfordi (Lilford's wall lizard), 68 nucleotides. The record is from the annotation of a GenBank genome assembly. NCBI's taxonomy places the organism in Eukaryota, Metazoa, Chordata, Lepidosauria, Squamata, Lacertidae.
GGGCUGUAGCUCAAUGGUAGAGUAUCUGCUUUGCAUGCAGAAGGUCCCUGGUUCAGUCCGUAACACCU